This 253-nucleotide ribosomal RNA is filed under the name uncultured bacterium. Its description in RNAcentral is "partial 16S ribosomal RNA". It matches the Rfam family "Bacterial small subunit ribosomal RNA", at positions 524 to 776 of the family's 1533-position model. The record is from RNAcentral.
UACGGAGGGGGCUAGCGUUAUUCGGAAUCACUGGGCGUAAAGCGCGCGUAGGUGGCCUGUAAAGUCAGGGGUGAAAUCCCGGAGCUUAACUCCGGAACUGCCUUUGAAACUCAUAGGCUUGCAUCUGGUAGAGGGUGGUGGAAUUCCACGUGUAGAGGUGAAAUUCGUAGAGAUGUGGAGGAACACCAGUGGCGAAAGCGGCCACCUGGGCCAGUAUGGACGCUAAGGCGCGAAAGAGUGGGGAGCAAACAGG